GAUGAACGCUGGCGGCGUGCUUAACACAUGCAAGUCGAACGAUGAAGCCCAGCUUGCUGGGUGGAUUAGUGGCGAACGGGUGAGUAACACGUGAGUAACCUGCCCUUAACUCUGGGAUAAGCCUGGGAAACUGGGUCUAAUACCGGAUAGGAGCGUCCACCGCAUGGUGGGUGUUGGAAAGAUUUAUCGGUUUUGGAUGGACUCGCGGCCUAUCAGCUUGUUGGUGAGGUAAUGGCUCACCAAGGCGACGACGGGUAGCCGGCCUGAGAGGGUGACCGGCCACACUGGGACUGAGACACGGCCCAGACUCCUACGGGAGGCAGCAGUGGGGAAUAUUGCACAAUGGGCGCAAGCCUGAUGCAGCGACGCCGCGUGAGGGAUGUCGGCCUUCGGGUUGUAAACCUCUUUCAGUAGGGAAGAAGCGAAAGUGACGGUACCUGCAGAAGAAGCACCGGCUAACUACGUG
RNAcentral lists this ribosomal RNA (466 nucleotides) under uncultured bacterium. RNAcentral describes it as "partial 16S ribosomal RNA". It matches the Rfam family "Bacterial small subunit ribosomal RNA", at positions 28 to 507 of the family's 1533-position model. The record is from RNAcentral.